GAUGAACGCUGGCGGCGUGCCUAAUACAUGCAAGUCGAGCGAACGGACGAGACGCUUGCUUUUCUGAUGUUAGCGGCGCACGGGUGAGUAACACGUGGAUACCCUACCUAUCAGACUGGGAUAACUUCGGGAAACCGGAGCUAAUACCGGAUAAUAUUUUGCACCGCGUGGUUCAAAAGUGAAAGACGGUCUUGCUGUCACUUAUCGAUGGAUCCGCGCUGCAUUAGCUGGUUGGUAAGGUAACGGCUUACCAAGGCAACGAUGCAUAGCCGACCUGAGAGGGUGAUCGGCCACACUGGAAGUGAGACACGGUCCAGACUCCUACGGGAGGCAGCAGUAGGGAAUCGUCCGCAAUGGGCGAAAGCCUGACGGAGCAACGCCGCGUGAGGGAUGAAGGUCGUCGGAUCGUAAAACUCUGUUAUUAGGGAAGAACAUAUUUGUAAGUAACUGUGCACAUCUUGACGGUACCUAAGCAGAAAGCCACGGCUAACUACGUG
RNAcentral lists this ribosomal RNA (497 nucleotides) under uncultured bacterium. RNAcentral's name for it is "partial 16S ribosomal RNA". It matches the Rfam family "Bacterial small subunit ribosomal RNA", at positions 28 to 507 of the family's 1533-position model. The record is from RNAcentral.